RNAcentral lists this long non-coding RNA (257 nucleotides) under Brassica napus (rape). RNAcentral describes it as "long non-coding RNA (BNAP_LNC001790)". The record is from RNAcentral. Lineage: Eukaryota; Viridiplantae; Streptophyta; Magnoliopsida; Brassicales; Brassicaceae.
GAUAAGGGACACCAUUUAAGGGUUGUGACUUGAGAGUUGUGUUGCUUGAGAGUAGGAAACGAUUCGGGGAAGAUGACAACGACAGUUUUUGAUGAUGUCAGCUACUCAAAAGAAGAGAAUUUUUUAUCCCUUAGAUCAUCAAAUUAAAACAAUUUCAACCGUUCGAUUAAAACUUUUUUUUCCUAUAAAAAAGGUGACAUCAGCAGGUCAAAAAAACAGGUUUGCUAUUAUAUAUAGAUACUUAUGUUUGUUUGUUG